GAGGGUGUAGCUCAAGUGGCAGAGUGCGUGCUUAGCAUCCACAAGGUCCUGGGUUCAAUCCCCAGUACCUCCU
This 73-nucleotide transfer RNA is filed under the name Camelus bactrianus (Bactrian camel). It matches the Rfam family "tRNA". Rfam says of the family: Transfer RNA (tRNA) molecules are approximately 80 nucleotides in length. Their secondary structure includes four short double-helical elements and three loops (D, anti-codon, and T loops). Further hydrogen bonds mediate the characteristic L-shaped molecular structure. tRNAs have two regions of fundamental functional importance: the anti-codon, which is responsible for specific mRNA codon recognition, and the 3' end, to which the tRNAs corresponding amino acid is attached (by aminoacyl-tRNA synthetases). tRNAs cope with the degeneracy of the genetic code in two manners: having more than one tRNA (with a specific anti-codon) for a particular amino acid; and 'wobble' base-pairing, i.e. permitting non-standard base-pairing at the 3rd anti-codon position. The record is from Rfam by way of RNAcentral. RNAcentral also lists the same sequence under 2 other names. Lineage: Eukaryota; Metazoa; Chordata; Mammalia; Artiodactyla; Camelidae.